This 468-nucleotide ribosomal RNA is filed under the name uncultured bacterium. RNAcentral describes it as "partial 16S ribosomal RNA". It matches the Rfam family "Bacterial small subunit ribosomal RNA", at positions 28 to 507 of the family's 1533-position model. The record is from RNAcentral.
GACGAACGCUGGCGGCGGGCUUAACACAUGCAAGUCGAACGGCAAGGCACUGCGAUUGUGGGGUUCUCGAGUGGCGAUCGGGUGAGUAACACGUGAGUAACCUGCCCUUGACUUUGGGAUAACUUCAGGAAACUGGGGCUAAUAUCAGAUAGGAUCCCCUGCUGCAUGGUGGGGGGUGGAAAUUUUCGGCUGUUGGGGAUGGAUUAGCGGCUUAUCAGCUUGUUGGUUGGGUGGUGGCUUACCAAGGCUUUGGCGGGUAGCCGGCCUGAGAGGGUGGCCGGCCACCAUGCUCCUGCGAUACGGCGCAGACGCCUAUGGGAGGCAACAGUGGGGAAUAUGGCACAAUCGGCCGACGCGUGAUGCAGCAACGCUGCGUUCGUGAUGCCGGCUUUCUGGUUGAGAACCGCAUUCGCUUGAUACGCAGCGGGAGUGACGGUAAUGGGUAAAGAAGCACCGGCUAACUACGUG